GCUUCCAGACCGGAAAGUAGUGGGGAAAAGGUAGAGGAUUACAAUUUUAAACCGGGGAAACCGAGUAUGCCCAGGUAUACGCCAAACAGGGUCCCGAGCUUGGAUCCAUUAGGAAGGGCCGACCAGGGUGGUGGAAUUCGCCUUUCUACAGGUUGAUCCCCCAGGCAACACACCUUUCCGCGGGGGGGACAACGGGCAAUCACUUCCGCAUGUUCAUUGGGCAGCAGCAAGGCAUCGAGAGGCGCGAUCGCAUCGGCGUCGUCGGGCAGCUCUUCACCGGCGUUGCGCCACACCGGCGCCGGCAGUAAAGCGGGCGCGUAAGGACCCGCAUCGUUGGUCAAUUCUGAUUGCAAUGCCCAGCCAUCGCGGAGCGCAAUUGGCUUCGCCGGACGGUCCGACGCAACGGCAACAUCCUCCGCGAGCGUGCGACCGCAAGCCGCGAUGAGAUCGGCAUCGCGCGGCUCAGUCGCGUUGGUUUGCGCGUCGAUAACAGCAAAAGCCUUGUCGAGCGGAGUGAGCUGCGCAAUGCGCUGGGGCUGUUGAACCAUCGCGCGUUAUUGGCGAAGCAUCUUGGACGGGUCAAGCAAGUCCCGCACGCACCAGAUCGGCCACGGCGCGGCUUAAAACUUGACGCACCGGCCGGUGUGUUGCUCAUAGCCCGAGGCUAUCGAUAUGGUGGAAAAGACCAUCAAUCUGCGCGGCCUCAAAUGCCCGCUCCCCGCUUUGCGGACGCGAAAGACGCUGUCCGCCAUGGCGCCCGGUGAUGUGCUGAUCGUCGAAUGCACCGAUCCUCUGUCGACGAUCGACAUUCCGAACUUGCUGCGCGAGACGGGCGAUGUCCUCGAACAGACGCCGCGAAGGCGAAAUU
RNAcentral lists this ribosomal RNA (868 nucleotides) under uncultured archaeon. Its description in RNAcentral is "partial 16S ribosomal RNA". The record is from RNAcentral.